UCNUCUGGCUUAACUGGGGGCUUGCGGUGGGUACGGGCCGGCUUGAGUGCGGUAGGGGAGACUGGAACUCCUGGUGUAGCGGUGGAAUGCGCAGAUAUCAGGAAGAACACCGGUGGCGAAGGCGGGUNUCUGGGCCGUUACUGACGCUGAGGAGCGAAAGCGUGGGGAGCGAACAGGAUUAGAUACCCUGGUAGUCCACGCCGUAAACGUUGGGCACUAGGUGUGGGGGGCCUUUUCCGGGUCUUCCGCGCCGUAGCUAACGCAUUAAGUGCCCCGCCUGGGGAGUACGGCCGCAAGGCUAAAACUCAAAGGAAUUGACGGGGGCCCGCACAAGCGGCGGAGCGUGCGGAUUAAUUCGAUGCAACGCGAAGAACCUUACCAAGGCUUGACAUGUGCCGGUCGGCUCCGGAGACGGGGUUUCCUCCUUGUGGGGCCGGUUCACAGGUGGUGCAUGGUUGUCGUCAGCUCGUGUCGUGAGAUGUUGGGUUAAGUCCCGCAACGAGCGCAACCCUUGUCCCGUGUUGCCAGCACGUUGUGGUGGGGACUCGCGGGAGACUGCCGGGGUCAACUCGGAGGAAGGUGGGGAUGACGUCAAAUCAUCAUGCCCCUUAUGUCUUGGGCUUCACGCAUGCUACAAUGGCCGGUACAGAGGGCUGCGAUACCGUGAGGUGGAGCGAAUCCCUUAAAGCCGGUCUCAGUUCGGAUCGGUGUCUGCAACUCGACACCGUGAAGUUGGAGUCGCUAGUAAUCGCAGAUCAGCAACGCUGCGGUGAAUACGUUCUCGGGCCUUGUACACACCGCCCGUCACGUCAUGAAAGUCGG
Molecule: ribosomal RNA, 822 nt
Filed under: uncultured bacterium
Lineage: Bacteria
Description: bacterial SSU rRNA
Rfam family: Bacterial small subunit ribosomal RNA
Source: RNAcentral